CAGCCGCCGCGGUAAUACGAAGGGGGCUAGCGUUGUUCGGAUUUACUGGGCGUAAAGGGUGCGUAGGCGGACUGAUAAGUCAGGGGUGAAAUCCCAAGGCUCAACCUUGGAACUGCCUUUGAUACUGUUAGUCUUGGGUUCGAGAGAGGUGAGUGGAACUGCGAGUGUAGAGGUGAAAUUCGUAGAUAUUCGCAAGAACACCAGCGGCGAAGGCGGCUCACUGGCUCGAAACUGACGCUGAGGCACGAAAGCGUGGGGAGCAAACAGGAUUAGAUACCCCGGUAGUCCCUGUCUCUUAUAC
Molecule: ribosomal RNA, 301 nt
Filed under: uncultured bacterium
Lineage: Bacteria
Description: partial 16S ribosomal RNA
Rfam family: Bacterial small subunit ribosomal RNA
Source: RNAcentral